GACGAACGCUGGCGGCGUGCUUAACACAUGCAAGUCGAACGAAGUGGCGAACGGGUGAGUAACGCGUAAUCAACCUGCCCUUCAGAGGGGGACAACAGUUGGAAACGACUGCUACUACCGCAUACUGAAGGAGGGGAUUGCGUCUGAGUAGCUAGUUGGAGGGGUAACGGCUUACCAAGGCCACGAUGCAUAGCCGACCUGAGAGGGUGAUCGGCCACACUGGGACUGAGACACGGCCCAGACUCCUACGGGAGGAAGCAGUGGGGAAUCUUCCGCAAUGGACGAAAGUCUGACGGAGCAACGCCGCGUGAGUGAUGACGGCCUUCGGGUUGUAAAGCUCUGUUAAUCGGGACGCGGUACCGGAAUAGAAAGCCACGGCUAACUACGUGCCAGCAGCCGCGGUAAUUC
RNAcentral lists this ribosomal RNA (408 nucleotides) under uncultured bacterium. RNAcentral describes it as "partial 16S ribosomal RNA". It matches the Rfam family "Bacterial small subunit ribosomal RNA", at positions 28 to 526 of the family's 1533-position model. The record is from RNAcentral.